AUUGAACGCUGGCGGAAUGCUUUACACAUGCAAGUCGAACGGCAGCACGGGAGCUUGCUCCUGGUGGCGAGUGGCGAACGGGUGAGUAAUGCGUCGGAACGUACCGAGUAAUGGGGGAUAACGCAGCGAAAGUUGUGCUAAUACCGCAUACGCCCUGAGGGGGAAAGUGGGGGAUCGCAAGACCUCACGUUAUUCGAGCGGCCGACGUCUGAUUAGCUAGUUGGUGGGGUAAAGGCCUACCAAGGCGACGAUCAGUAGCGGGUCUGAGAGGAUGAUCCGCCACACUGGGACUGAGACACGGCCCAGACUCCUACGGGAGGCAGCAGUGGGGAAUUUUGGACAAUGGGGGCAACCCUGAUCCAGCCAUUCCGCGUGAGUGAAGAAGGCCUUCGGGUUGUAAAGCUCUUUCAGCAGGAACGAAACGGUGCGCUCUAACAUAGCGUGCUAAUGACGGUACCUGCAGAAGAAGCACCGGCUAACUACGUGCCAGCAGCCGCGGUAAUACGUAGGGUGCGAGCGUUAAUCGGAAUUACUGGGCGUAAAGCGUGCGCAGGCGGAUUGUUAAGCAAGACGUGAAAUCCCCGGGCUUAACCUGGGAAUGGCGUUUUGAACUGGCAGUCUAGAGUGUGUCAGAGGGGGGUGGAAUUCCACGUGUAGCAGUGAAAUGCGUAGAGAUGUGGAGGAACACCAAUGGCGAAGGCAGCCCCCUGGGAUAACACUGACGCUCAUGUACGAAAGCGUGGGUAGCAAACAGGAUUAGAUACCCUGGUAGUCCACGCCCUAAACGAUGUCAACUGGUUGUUGGGGGAGUGAAAUCCCUUAGUAACGAAGCUAACGCGUGAAGUUGACCGCCUGGGGAGUACGGUCGCAAGAUUAAAACUCAAAGGAAUUGACGGGGACCCGCACAAGCGGUGGAUGAUGUGGAUUAAUUCGAUGCAACGCGAAAAACCUUACCUACCCUUGACAUGUCCGGAAUCCUGCAGAGAUGCGGGAGUGCCCGAAAGGGAAUCGGAACACAGGUGCUGCAUGGCUGUCGUCAGCUCGUGUCGUGAGAUGUUGGGUUAAGUCCCGCAACGAGCGCAACCCUUAUCAUUAGUUGCUACGCAAGGGCACUCUAAUGAGACUGCCGGUGACAAACCGGAGGAAGGUGGGGAUGACGUCAAGUCCUCAUGGCCCUUAUGGGUAGGGCGACACACGUGCUACAAUGGCCAGUACAGAGGGUUGCUACCUGGUGACAGGAUGCUAAUCUCGAAAGCUGGUCUCAGUUCGGAUCGAAGUCUGCAACUCGACUUCGUGAAGUUGGAUUCGCUAGUAAUCGCGCAUCAGCCAUGGCGCGGUGAAUACGUUCCCGGGCCUUGUACACACCGCCCGUCAAGCCAUGGAAGCCGGGGGUACCUGAAGUCCGUAACCGCAAGGAGCGGCCUAAGGUAAAACUGGUGACUGGGGCU
RNAcentral lists this ribosomal RNA (1448 nucleotides) under uncultured bacterium. Its description in RNAcentral is "bacterial SSU rRNA". It matches the Rfam family "Bacterial small subunit ribosomal RNA". The record is from RNAcentral.